Molecule: ribosomal RNA, 276 nt
Filed under: uncultured prokaryote
Description: partial 16S ribosomal RNA
Rfam family: Bacterial small subunit ribosomal RNA
Source: RNAcentral
CCUAUGGGUGGCAGCAGUGGGGAAUUUUGCGCAAUGGGCGAAAGCCUGACGCAGCAACGCCGCGUGGAGGAUGAAGGUGCUCUGCAUUGUAAACUCCUGUCGGCCGGGAAGAAUCGGCGGGGUGCUAAUCAGCCCCGUCUUGACUGUACCGGCAAAGGAAGCCACGGCUAACUCCGUGCCAGCAGCCGCGGUAAUACGGAGGGGGCAAGCGUUACUCGGAAUUAUUGGGCGGAAAGGGCGCGUAGGCGGUCUCGUGCGUCAGGGGUGAAUGACCCG